This 2230-nucleotide ribosomal RNA is filed under the name Trabulsiella odontotermitis. RNAcentral's name for it is "bacterial LSU rRNA". Lineage: Bacteria; Pseudomonadati; Pseudomonadota; Gammaproteobacteria; Enterobacterales; Enterobacteriaceae. The record is from RNAcentral.
AGCGUACACGGUGGAUGCCCUGGCAGUCAGAGGCGAUGAAGGACGUGCUAAUCUGCGAAAAGCGCCGGUAAGGUGAUAUGAACCGUUAUAACCGGCGAUGUCCGAAUGGGGAAACCCGGUGCACUUCGGUGCAUCAUCGUAACAUGAAUACAUAGUGUUACGAGGCGAACCGGGGGAACUGAAACAUCUAAGUACCCCGAGGAAAAGAAAUCAACCGAGAUUCCCCCAGUAGCGGCGAGCGAACGGGGAGGAGCCCAGAGUCUGAAUCAGCAUGUGUGUUAGUGGAAGCGUCUGGAAAGUCGCGCGAUACAGGGUGAAAGCCCCGUACACAAAAAUGCACAGGCUGUGAACUCGAHGAGUAGGGCGGGACACGUGGUAUCCUGUCUGAAUAUGGGGGGACCAUCCUCCAAGGCUAAAUACUCCUGACUGACCGAUAGUGAACCAGUACCGUGAGGGAAAGGCGAAAAGAACCCCGGCGAGGGGAGUGAAACAGAACCUGAAACCGUGUACGUACAAGCAGUGGGAGCCCCACCACCAAAGCGUUUCGCUUUGCGUGGUGCGCAAAAUGCGUAACGACAGCGUGAUGGACGGUUAACGGAGCGUAAGCGACGUUCAACACAAAAAUCAGGCAGUGGAGCGUUUUGGGGUGGGGUGACUGCGUACCUUUUGUAUAAUGGGUCAGCGACUUAUAUUCUGUAGCAAGGUUAACCGCAUAGGGGAGCCGAAGGGAAACCGAGUCUUAANNGGGCGUUAAGUUGCAGGGUAUAGACCCGAAACCCGGUGAUCUAGCCAUGGGCAGGUUGAAGGUUGGGUAACACUAACUGGAGGACCGAACCGACUAAUGUUGAAAAAUUAGCGGAUGACCUGUGGCUGGGGGUGAAAGGCCAAUCAAACCGGGAGAUAGCUGGUUCUCCCCGAAAGCUAUUUAGGUAGCGCCUCGUGAAUUCAUCUCCGGGGGUAGAGCACUGUUUCGGCCAGGGGGUCAUCCCGACUUACCAACCCGAUGCAAACUGCGAAUACCGGAGAAUGUUAUCACGGGAGACACACGGCGGGUGCUAACGUCCGUCGUGAAGAGGGAAACAACCCAGACCGCCAGCUAAGGUCCCAAAGUCAUGGUUAAGUGGGAAACGAUGUGGGAAGGCCCAGACAGCCAGGAUGUUGGCUUAGAAGCAGCCAUCAUUUAAAGAAAGCGUAAUAGCUCACUGGUCGAGUCGGCCUGCGCGGAAGAUGUAACGGGGCUAAACCAUGCACCGAAGCUGCGGCAGCGACNGUUGUUGGGUAGGGGAGCGUUCUGUAAGCCGUUGAAGGUGGUCUGUGAGGACUGCUGGAGGUAUCAGAAGUGCGAAUGCUGACAUAAGUAACGAUAAAGCGGGUGAAAAGCCCGCUCGCCGGAAGACCAAGGGUUCCUGUCCAACGUUAAUCGGGGCAGGGUGAGUCGACCCCUAAGGCGAGGCCGAAAGGCGUAGUCGAUGGGAAACAGGUUAAUAUUCCUGUACUUGGUGUUACUGCGAAGGGGGGACGGAGAAGGCUAUGUCAUCCGGGCGACGGUUGUCCCGGUUUAAGCGUGCAGGUGUGUGCUCCAGGCAAAUCCGGAGCGCUUUAACACUGAGGCGUGAUGACGAGGCACUACGGUGCUGAAGUGACAGAUGCCCUGCUUCCAGGAAAAGCCUCUAAGCUCCAGGUAACACGAAAUCGUACCCCAAACCGACACAGGUGGUCAGGUAGAGAAUACCAAGGCGCUUGAGAGAACUCGGGUGAAGGAACUAGGCAAAAUGGUGCCGUAACUUCGGGAGAAGGCACGCUGGUGCGUAGGUGAAGUCCCUUGCGGAUGGAGCUGAGACCAGUCGAAGAUACCAGCUGGCUGCAACUGUUUAUUAAAAACACAGCACUGUGCAAACACGAAAGUGGACGUAUACGGUGUGACGCCUGCCCGGUGCCGGAAGGUUAAUUGAUGGGGUCAGCCGUAAGGCGAAGCUCCUGAUCGAAGCCCCGGUAAACGGCGGCCGUAACUAUAACGGUCCUAAGGUAGCGAAAUUCCUUGUCGGGUAAGUUCCGACCUGCACGAAUGGCGUAAUGAUGGCCAGGCUGUCUCCACCCGAGACUCAGUGAAAUUGAACUCGCUGUGAAGAUGCAGUGUACCCGCGGCAAGACGGAAAGACCCCGUGAACCUUUACUAUAGCUUGACACUGAACAUUGAGCCUUGAUGUGUAGGAUAGGUGGGAGGCUUUGA